Molecule: long non-coding RNA, 894 nt
Organism: Monodelphis domestica (gray short-tailed opossum)
Lineage: Eukaryota; Metazoa; Chordata; Mammalia; Didelphimorphia; Didelphidae
Source: RefSeq, a predicted model, not a curated record
AAAGUGGGAAGCAAUUUUCAAGAUGCUCUUUUUCUGUGAUACCUUCUUAAAACAAUGAGACAAGAGCUAAAAGAUACCUGUCAUUUUUCCUAGUCUGGAACCAAGCCUCCUCCUUAUUCCCAUGAUGUAUUUACAUUACUUCCAUUUCUCAAAAUCCGCCUGUCAUUGUAAAUACUCAUUGUUUAUCUUUUAUGUUCAAUCUGUUAUUCACAUGUAUGGCUCUCAGAGAGUUGGAAGAUCUUAAAGUUGGAGGGAGAGGACUUCUGGACUGAAUAAGGCAGGCAGAUCAACUCUCUGUAUGUACUCCAGCAAAACCCUCAAAAUUGGACAAGGCUGAAUAAUGAUCAGGAAAUCCAAAGAGCAACUACAACAAACUGAGACUUUCCAAGGAGCAAAGAUGCUGCAGCAUUUGGGGGGAAGGAGCUCUGUAUGGAAAUGCAUUUCAGGAUUCACCUAUAAUGUUCACUGAGUUUCCCACGAGAUGAAGGUAUCUCCCCAAAGAUGGAGGCCACAGGAAUCUUGGACCUUAGAUAAGAGACAAGAUUCAGCUCAACAGUGAAAAAUGGUGAUACUACUGAGUCCCCAGGAUUAUUCUCCCUGGGUAUUAGGUGGUGGGUUCAGUAGAUUUUGAGAGCCAGGCCUAGAGAUGGGAUUGGAUUUAAAUCUGGCCUCAGACACUUCCUAGCUAUGUGACCCUGAACAAGUCACUUAACCCCCAUCGCCAAGCCCUUACCACUCUUCUGCCUUGAAACCAAUACAUAGUAUUGAUUUUAAGAUGGAAGGGAAAGGGUUUAAAAAAAAUAAUAAACUAAGGGUGGUGGCAUGGAGGUUGCAGAAAUAGAUGGGAUGCAUUCAGGAAAAUAAUUUCUUCUUUUGUAAGUUAACUUACCCCAG